Long non-coding RNA from Neopelma chrysocephalum (saffron-crested tyrant-manakin), 296 nucleotides. RefSeq lists it as uncharacterized. The record is from RefSeq and is a predicted model, not a curated record. The transcript has 4 exons. Lineage: Eukaryota; Metazoa; Chordata; Aves; Passeriformes; Pipridae.
AAUCUGGGUAAGUGAACCCAUUUUGUUUGUGUGCCCUCUUUACUGAGUAGAGCCACAAUAGCAAAAACCUCAGGGCACUGAUGUCUCAGUGUAACCACCCAUCUGGGGAAGACAGACCUUGACCUCAACUUGAGAGUACUUGAAAGAGUGACCAUAACACCACAGGAAAGGGCAGAUAUUAACAGGUUCUCUCAUCACUGGAACUCCGGGUGUUGUACAGGACUUGUUCAUUCAGUCUGUGAGAGUGUUGCUGGAUGAUCCAAACAUGCUUUUAUACCUACUAAAUCGAGAUUGGG